GAUGAACGCUGGCGGCGUGCCUAACACAUGCAAGUCGAACGGAGUUCUUAAGGAAUGCGGCUUCGGUCAAAUGACUUUUGAACUUAGUGGCGGACGGGUGAGUAACGCGUGAGCAACCUGCCUUUCAGAGGGGGAUAACAUUUGGAAACAGAUGCUAAUACCGCAUAAGAUUACAGUAGCGCAUGAUACAGUGAUCAAAGGAGCAAUCCGCUGAAAGAUGGGCUCGCGUCCGAUUAGAUAGUUGGCGGGGUAACGGCCCACCAAGUCGACGAUCGGUAGCCGGACUGAGAGGUUGAACGGCCACAUUGGGACUGAGACACGGCCCAGACUCCUACGGGAGGCAGCAGUGGGGAAUAUUGCACAAUGGGCGAAAGCCUGAUGCAGCAACGCCGCGUGAGGGAAGACGGUCUUCGGAUUGUAAACCUUUGUCUUUAGGGACGAUAAUGACGGUACCUAAGGAGGAAGCCACGGCUAACUACGUG
RNAcentral lists this ribosomal RNA (482 nucleotides) under uncultured bacterium. Its description in RNAcentral is "bacterial SSU rRNA". It matches the Rfam family "Bacterial small subunit ribosomal RNA", at positions 28 to 507 of the family's 1533-position model. The record is from RNAcentral.